GGGACAUAUGUCUAUUGAAUAAAAAUGGACUCUUAAUCCGUUGGUUCAAGGUUCAAGUCCUUGGUGGCCUACCA
RNAcentral lists this transfer RNA (74 nucleotides) under Marinifilum sp. JC120. Its description in RNAcentral is "tRNA-Lys". The record is from RNAcentral. Lineage: Bacteria; Pseudomonadati; Bacteroidota; Bacteroidia; Marinilabiliales; Marinifilaceae.